AACGAACGCUGGCGGCAGGCUUAACACAUGCAAGUCGAGCGCAUCCUUCGGGGUGAGCGGCGGACGGGUGAGUAACGCGUGGGAACGUGCCCUCUUCUACGGAAUAGCCUCGGGAAACUGAGAGUAAUGCCGUAUACGCCCGCAAGGGGAAAGAUUUAUCGGAGGAGGAUCGGCCCGCGUUGGAUUAGGUAGUUGGUGGGGUAACGGCCUACCAAGCCGACGAUCCAUAGCUGGUUUGAGUGGAUGAUCAGCCACACUGGGACUGAGACACGGCCCAGACUCCUACGGGAGGCAGCAGUGGGGAAUCUUGGACAAUGGGGGCAACCCUGAUCCAGCCAUGCCGCGUGAUCGAUGAAGGCCUUAGGGUUGUAAAGAUCUUUCAGCUGGGAAGAUAAUGACGGUACCAGCAGAAGAAGCCCCGGCUAACUCCGUG
This 433-nucleotide ribosomal RNA is filed under the name uncultured bacterium. Its description in RNAcentral is "partial 16S ribosomal RNA". It matches the Rfam family "Bacterial small subunit ribosomal RNA", at positions 29 to 507 of the family's 1533-position model. The record is from RNAcentral.